UUAAACCACCCUUCUAUUCGAAAUGAACCUGAUCUCAUCUGAUUUUGCAAGCUAAGCAUGGCCAAGAGUGAUUAGUUCUUGGAUGGGAGACUAUCAGAGAAUAUCAGGGCUCUUCAGG
Molecule: ribosomal RNA, 118 nt
Filed under: Pogona vitticeps (central bearded dragon)
Lineage: Eukaryota; Metazoa; Chordata; Lepidosauria; Squamata; Agamidae
Source: RNAcentral